UGGAUCCAGACUUUGAUCAUGGCUCAGGAUAAACGCUGGCGGCGCACAUAAGACAUGCAAGUCGAACGGACUUAACUCAUUCUUUUAGAUUGAGAGCGGUUAGUGGCGGACUGGUGAGUAACACGUAAGCAACCUGCCUAUCAGAGGGGAAUAACAGUGAGAAAUCAUUGCUAAUACCGCAUAAGCUAGUAGUAUCACAUGAUACAGCUAGAAAAGGAGCAAUCCGCUGAUAGAUGGGCUUGCGUCUGAUUAGCUAGUUGGUGGGGUAACGGCCUACCAAGGCGACGAUCAGUAGCCGAACUGAGAGGUUGAACGGCCACAUUGGGACUGAGAUACGGCCCAGACUCCUACGGGAGGCAGCAGUCGGGAAUAUUGCGCAAUGGAGGAAACUCUGACGCAGUGACGCCGCGUAUAGGAAGAAGGUUUUCGGAUUGUAAACUAUUGUCGUGAGGGAAGAAAUUGACAGUACCUCAGGAGGAAGCUCCGGCUAACUAUGUGCCAGCAGCCGCGGUAAUACAUAGGGAGCAAGCGUUAUCCGGAAUUAUUGGGUGUAAAGGGUGCGUAGACGGGAAAUUAAGUUAGUUGUGAAAUCCCUUGGCUUAACUGAGGAACUGCAACUAAAACUGGUUUUCUUGAGUACUGGAGAGGAAAGUGGAAUUCCUAGUGUAGCGGUGAAAUGCGUAGAUAUUAGGAGGAACACCAGUGGCGAAGGCGACUUUCUGGACAGUAACUGACGUUGAGGCACGAAAGUGUGGGGAGCAAACAGGAUUAGAUACCCUGGUAGUCCACACUGUAAACGAUGGAUACUAGGUGUAGGGUGUAUUAAGCACUCUGUGCCGCCGCAAACGCAUUAAGUAUCCCACCUGGGGAGUACGACCGCAAGGUUG
This 887-nucleotide ribosomal RNA is filed under the name uncultured Bacillota bacterium. RNAcentral describes it as "bacterial SSU rRNA". It matches the Rfam family "Bacterial small subunit ribosomal RNA", at positions 1 to 896 of the family's 1533-position model. Lineage: Bacteria; Bacillati; Bacillota. The record is from RNAcentral.